RNAcentral lists this long non-coding RNA (462 nucleotides) under Physcomitrium patens. RNAcentral describes it as "long non-coding RNA (PPAT_LNC011803)". The record is from RNAcentral. Lineage: Eukaryota; Viridiplantae; Streptophyta; Bryopsida; Funariales; Funariaceae.
UAAACUCUAAUUAAAUCUUAAUAAUGCUAAAUAAGCUUUAAUUAAAUUCAAAAGAAACCUUAAAGAAAUUACAAAAGAAACAAUAAGAAAUCUUAAAAGAGUUAAAAAAAAUCCACAAUAAAUAUUAAAAGAAUCUUUAAGAAUAUUUAAAGAAAUAUUAAAAUAAUCACAAAUAUAUCUUAAAUAAAUCUCAAUAAAGUCCUAAUUUAAUUAUAAUUAAAAUCUUAAUGGAUUUUAAUGAAAUCCUAGGUAAAAUCCUAAAUUCUAAAUCAAAUCCUAAAUUCUAAUCUUAUCUUAAAUUCUAACCAAAUUCUAAUCAAAUCCUAAAUCCUAAUCCAACUCUAAACCUAAACCAAAUCUUAACUAAAAUCUAAUCAAUUCAAUCUAAUCUUAGUAUAGUUUAGAACCUCAAUAUCUAUGAAUUAAAGUAAUGAUCUUACUUAAAAUUUUAUAUACUUCUCA